AGGUGUAGCGGUGAAAUGCGUAGAGAUCUGGAGGAAUACCGGUGGCGAAGGCGGCCCCNUGGACGAAGACUGACGCUCAGGUGCGAAAGCGUGGGGAGCAAACAGGAUUAGAUACCCUNGUAGUCCACGCCGUAAACGAUGUCGACUUGGAGGUUGUGCCCUUGAGGCGUGGCUUCCGAGCUAACGCGUUAAGUCGACCGCCUGGGGAGUACGGCCGCAAGGUUAAAACUCAAAU
RNAcentral lists this ribosomal RNA (235 nucleotides) under Escherichia coli. RNAcentral describes it as "partial 16S ribosomal RNA". It matches the Rfam family "Bacterial small subunit ribosomal RNA", at positions 671 to 906 of the family's 1533-position model. Lineage: Bacteria; Pseudomonadati; Pseudomonadota; Gammaproteobacteria; Enterobacterales; Enterobacteriaceae. The record is from RNAcentral.